CAAUCAAACCGGGAGAUAGCUGGUUCUCCCCGAAAGCUAUUUAGGUAGCGCCUCGUGAAUUCAUCUCCGGGGGUAGAGCACUGUUUCGGCUAGGGGGCCAUCCCGGCUUACCAACCCGAUGCAAACUGCGAAUACCGGAGAAUGUUAUCACGGGAGACACACGGCGGGUGCUAACGUCCGUCGUGAAGAGGGAAACAACCCAGACCGCCAGCUAAGGUCCCAAAGUCAUGGUUAAGUGGGAAACGAUGUGGGAAGGCCCAGACAGCCAGGAUGUUGGCUUAGAAGCAGCCAUCAUUUAAAGAAAGCGUAAUAGCUCACUGGUCGAGUCGGCCUGCGCGGAAGAUGUAACGGGGCUAAACCAUGCACCGAAGCUGCGGCAGCGAACGUAUCACCCAAGACAACUUUACGGAGUUGACGAUUGACGGAGCGAAGCGACGUCAAAGCGUUCAUUAAAGUCGAGUUGGCUUAGGGAUACGUUCGUUGGGUAGGGGAGCGUUCUGUAAGCCUGUGAAGGUGUGUCGUGAGGCAUGCUGGAGGUAUCAGAAGUGCGAAUGCUGACAUAAGUAACGAUAAAGCGGGUGAAAAGCCCGCUCGCCGGAAGACCAAGGGUUCCUGUCCAACGUUAAUCGGGGCAGGGUGAGUCGACCCCUAAGGCGAGGCCGAAAGGCGUAGUCGAUGGGAAACGGGUUAAUAUUCCCGUACUUGGUGUUACUGCGAAGGGGGGACGGAGAAGGCUAUGUUGGCCGGGCGACGGUUGUCCCGGUUUAAGCGUGUAGGUGUGUGUUCCAGGUAAAUCCGGUUCACUUUAACACUGAGGCGUGACGACGAGGCACUACGGUGCUGAAGCAACAAAUGCCCUGCUUCCAGGAAAAGCCUCUAAGCAUCAGGUAACAUCAAAUCGUACCCCAAACCGACACAGGUGGUCAGGUAGAGAAUACCAAGGCGCUUGAGAGAACUCGGGUGAAGGAACUAGGCAAAAUGGUGCCGUAACUUCGGGAGAAGGCACGCUGACACGUAGGUGAAGUGAUUUACUCAUGGAGCUGAAGUCAGUCGAAGAUACCAGCUGGCUGCAACUGUUUAUUAAAAACACAGCACUGUGCAAACACGAAAGUGGACGUAUACGGUGUGACGCCUGCCCGGUGCCGGAAGGUUAAUUGAUGGGGUCAGCGCAAGCGAAGCUCCUGAUCGAAGCCCCGGUAAACGGCGGCCGUAACUAUAACGGUCCUAAGGUAGCGAAAUUCCUUGUCGGGUAAGUUCCGACCUGCACGAAUGGCGUAAUGAUGGCCAGGCUGUCUCCACCCGAGACUCAGUGAAAUUGAACUCGCUGUGAAGAUGCAGUGUACCCGCGGCAAGACGGAAAGACCCCGUGAACCUUUACUAUAGCUUGACACUGAACAUUGAGCCUUGAUGUGUAGGAUAGGUGGGAGGCUUUGAAGUGUGGACGCCAGUCUGCAUGGAGCCGACCUUGAAAUACCACCCUUUAAUGUUUGAUGUUCUAACGUGGACCCGUAAUCCGGGUUGCGGACAGUGUCUGGUGGGUAGUUUGACUGGGGCGGUCUCCUCCUAAAGAGUAACGGAGGAGCACGAAGGUUGGCUAAUCCUGGUCGGACAUCAGGAGGUUAGUGCAAUGGCAUAAGCCAGCUUGACUGCGAGCGUGACGGCGCGAGCAGGUGCGAAAGCAGGUCAUAGUGAUCCGGUGGUUCUGAAUGGAAGGGCCAUCGCUCAACGGAUAAAAGGUACUCCGGGGAUAACAGGCUGAUACCGCCCAAGAGUUCAUAUCGACGGCGGUGUUUGGCACCUCGAUGUCGGCUCAUCACAUCCUGGGGCUGAAGUAGGUCCC
Molecule: ribosomal RNA, 1840 nt
Filed under: Salmonella enterica
Lineage: Bacteria; Pseudomonadati; Pseudomonadota; Gammaproteobacteria; Enterobacterales; Enterobacteriaceae
Description: partial 23S ribosomal RNA
Rfam family: Bacterial large subunit ribosomal RNA
Source: RNAcentral